AGCUCCAAUAGCGUAUAUUAAAGUUGUUGCAGUUAAAAAGCUCGUAGUUGGAUUUCUGGUAGGAGCGACCAUACCGAGCUUGAUUGUUCGUGUAAUGUGUUUCUCCAGCCAUCCUCGUGGAGAGUGUUUCUGGCAUUAAUUUGUUGGAGGCAGGACCCGCGUCGUUUACUGUGAAAAAAUUAGAGUGUUCAAAGCAGGCAAUUGGCUUGAAUAUAUUAGCAUGGAAUAAUAAGAUAGGACUUUGGUGCUAUUUUGUUGGUUUGCACAUCAAGGUAAUGAUUAAUAGAAUCAGUCGGGGAUAUUCGUAUGCAAAUGUCAGAGGUGAAAUUCUUGGAUUUUUUACAGACGAACUACUGCGAAAGCAUUUAUCAAGGAUGUUUUCAUUAAUCAAGAACGAAAG
RNAcentral lists this ribosomal RNA (400 nucleotides) under phytoplankton environmental sample. RNAcentral describes it as "partial small subunit ribosomal RNA". It matches the Rfam family "Eukaryotic small subunit ribosomal RNA", at positions 587 to 989 of the family's 1831-position model. The record is from RNAcentral.